Molecule: long non-coding RNA, 545 nt
Organism: Entelurus aequoreus (snake pipefish)
Lineage: Eukaryota; Metazoa; Chordata; Actinopteri; Syngnathiformes; Syngnathidae
Exons: 3
Source: RefSeq, a predicted model, not a curated record
CCUCCCCUGACAGCACGUCACUGGAAUGAGGCGCAAGGGGCAAGUGUCGUAUUUGAAGUCAUCCGGGAUCCAGUAGGUGACCUGCAGGAAGACCCUGUACAGUCCAGUCCUGGGCACCACCAGGCUGCCGUCGGAGUAGGAGAAGCCCCCGUGAAGGAGACACUGAACUCAACCCUGGACCUGCAACAACACGGUUAAUGUUGUCCCGACUGGCGAAGACUAGCAAUGCUACUGCUAGCGUCGUCAUCGAAGCUAACUCGGCUACCGGCUCAUCUCAGCUCAAGCUCACCUGUGCUCCAGCGAUCGGCGGCUCGGCGGAGGACUUCGCCCUGUUGUUCAUCGACACGGUCGGUGGCUCGGCGGCGGCGGUGGACGGCGAACCAGUCAUCGAUGAUGGCGGGGAACUGCCCGAGAUGGCGGGGGUCCACGCGGCCUCUUCCCGGUCCACGACGGUCGAGGACGCGGCAUACACUGGAUUUAGAGGCGCCUUUACAAAAACAUUUUCGUUAUUCUCUUUGUCCUCAAAAAAGCCCGCCAAAAGGAAA